GAUGAACGCUGGCUGCGUGCUUAACACAUGCAAGUCGAACGGUGAACGAGGGAGCUUGCUCCCUCCGGAUCAGUGGCGAACGGGUGAGUAACACGUGAGCAAUCUGCCCUGGACUCUGGGAUAAGCGUUGGAAACGACGUCUAAUACCGGAUACGAGUCGUGGGGGCAUCCCCAACGCCUGGAAAGAACUUCGGUCCAGGAUGAGCUCGCGGCCUAUCAGGUAGUUGGGGAGGUAAUGGCUCACCAAGCCUACGACGGGUAGCCUGCCUGCGAGGGUGACCGGCAACAGUGGGACUGAGACACGGACCAGACUACUACGGGAGGCAGCAGUGGGGAAUAGUGCACAAGGGGCGCAAGCCUGAUGCAGCAGAGCUGCGUGAGAGACGACGGACUUCGGGUUGUAAACCUCAUUUAGCAGGAAAGAAGCGAAAGUGACGGUACCUGCAGAAAAAGCACCGGCUAACUACGUGCCAGCAGCCGCCGUAA
This 486-nucleotide ribosomal RNA is filed under the name uncultured bacterium. RNAcentral describes it as "partial 16S ribosomal RNA". It matches the Rfam family "Bacterial small subunit ribosomal RNA", at positions 28 to 523 of the family's 1533-position model. The record is from RNAcentral.